Molecule: long non-coding RNA, 421 nt
Organism: Cryptomeria japonica (Japanese cedar)
Lineage: Eukaryota; Viridiplantae; Streptophyta; Pinopsida; Cupressales; Cupressaceae
Exons: 3
Source: RefSeq, a predicted model, not a curated record
UGCAUGAGGCCUUUACACACCGCCUAGGUCAAUGAGAAUUACGAGGGUUUCACUCUACCUAUGCUUGAUUCUCAUCUUUGCACGAUACAGGUCAUCUCUUGGAGUGGACAACAGAGCACUUGGACCAACACGACUGUUCAAAAGACUUCUAGGAAGAACUCAUCAACCUAUCUAGGAAAUGAUGGGUCAUCUUUUAGAGUGGACAGAGGAGCAUUUGGACCAACCAGACUAUUCAAAAGACUUCUAGAAAGAACUCAUCAACCUAUCCAGGAAAUCAUGGGUUCCUUCUCUCUCUCUUCCAUACAUUCUUUUGAUUUCUUAUGUGUUUACUGUACUAUGAUCAAAAAGAUAUCUCUUGGCUAAUCCCAUGACUUGUGUGGAAUUUCAUGAACAAUUUGAUUUUUAUAAAUAAAAAUGUGUU